Molecule: long non-coding RNA, 571 nt
Filed under: Marmota monax (woodchuck)
Lineage: Eukaryota; Metazoa; Chordata; Mammalia; Rodentia; Sciuridae
Source: RNAcentral
GAAAAAAAAAAGUUAAGUUUGAUUAAUCUGGUUUUAACCAAUUUGACCUGACCAACUCAAUUCUAAAGCUGAGGGAUACUUGGAACAAAAAUUAAAAAGCAAACCAAAAAUUGACCUUUUAAUUUCCUGGCCAAAAGGGAAAAAAAAAGUUAAUAAAGCAAAUCUGCUUAGGGAAAGAAUCUUUGCUCAGAUGGCAAAUUCAGUAUGUAGCAUGCCUGAGUGUUGCCCAUGAUGUUUAAACCUGGCUAUAAAUAAAAAUCAUCUGAUGUUGGGGGGUGGGGUAGGAGGAGGAUAACCUUGAGCAAAUAGCUUUAUAAAGACACUCUUAGCCAAGAUAUAAAAAUUGACAUUAAACAUGGGGAAGGAAUGAGAUAUGUCUGUCAGCAAUUCUCUUGGCCUUACGUUAGGUUUAUUUUGUUUUUGUUCCAUCUUUUUUUUUUCCUUACUCAGAAAGUGUAACAAAUGACUCUGGAUCCAUAUGGACCUGGUUUUGACUUUUCAUACUGUAAAUGCCUAGCUGAGUGAAGUUUGGCAAGUUCUCUUUUCUGACUCUCAGUUUUCUUAUCUAUAA